This 468-nucleotide ribosomal RNA is filed under the name uncultured bacterium. RNAcentral's name for it is "partial 16S ribosomal RNA". It matches the Rfam family "Bacterial small subunit ribosomal RNA", at positions 28 to 507 of the family's 1533-position model. The record is from RNAcentral.
GACGAACGCUGGCGGCGUGCUUAACACAUGCAAGUCGAACGGAAAGGCCCUGCUUUUGUGGGGUGCUCGAGUGGCGAACGGGUGAGUAACACGUGAGUAACCUGCCCUUGCCUUUGGGUUAACUUCAGGAAACUGGGGCAAAUCCGGGAAAGAACCUCCUGCGGCAUGUGGGGGUUUGGAAGGUUUCGGCGGUUGGGGAUGGACUGGCGGCUUAUCAGCUUGUUGGUGGGGUAGUGGCUUACCAAGGCUUUGACGGGUAGCCGGCCUGAGAGGGUGACCGGCCACAUUGGGACUGAGAUACGGCCCAGACUCCUACGGGAGGCAGCAGUGGGGAAUAUUGCACAAUGGGCGGAAGCCUGAUGCAGCAACGCCGCGUGCGGGAUGACGGCCUUCGGGUUGUAAACCGCUUUCGCCUGUGACGAAGCGUGAGUGACGGUAAUGGGUAAAGAAGCACCGGCUAACUACGUG